This 214-nucleotide long non-coding RNA is filed under the name Pan troglodytes (chimpanzee). RNAcentral describes it as "long non-coding RNA NONPTRT004316". The record is from RNAcentral. Lineage: Eukaryota; Metazoa; Chordata; Mammalia; Primates; Hominidae.
CCUCCAGCUUUGUUCUUUUGGCUUAGGAUUGACUUGGUGAUGCGGGCCCUUUUUUGGUUCCAUAUGAACUUUAAAGUAGUUUUUUCCAAUUCUGUGAAGAAAGUCAUUGGUAGCUUGAUGGGGAUGGCAUUGAAUCUAUAAAUUACCUUGGGCAGUAUGGCCAUUUUCACGUUUGUAUCCUGAGACUUUGCUGAAGUUGCUUAUCAGCUUAAGG